Molecule: long non-coding RNA, 838 nt
Organism: Uranotaenia lowii
Lineage: Eukaryota; Metazoa; Arthropoda; Insecta; Diptera; Culicidae
Exons: 3
Source: RefSeq, a predicted model, not a curated record
CAAAACGACUCUCAGAGGGCCUUGCGAUCAAAAUGAUGAUGUUAGGGACCCAAGUGUCAAAACAAGUAGUAGUUUUCCAAAACACAUGACAAUUUUUGAGAAUUUUGCAGUUAAAUAAAACAUUUAGCCAAUUUGGCUUGGAGAAUAUGUUUUCCGGAAAACAAAAUUUAUGUCUAAACUUGCAGCAGCUUGGAAGGCCUACCCGGAGAAAGAGUGUUUUAAGUUCCGCUUUAAAACAGCAAAGGUUCACGAAAACGAAAGAUUUUCAAUAAACGACCUGGAAAUUAUUUAUAAGAAACUUUCGGACGAAGAUUCUUUAAAGCGUGUCGAAUUUCAGGAUAAAAAACAGGUUUGAUCAAACGGAUGGAACCGAUUAGGAACUGCUUUGGAAAAGGAUGAUUUGUUCUUCUAAGGAAUAAAAAAAAGGUUUCUCGAAUCGGCCUGAAAGAAUCAGUAACACAGUCAUAAGCAAGCAUGUCGAACUGGCCGUUUUACGAGCCACAUGUGACCCAGAGUGUAUCAGUUAUCAUUUAUAUUUUGGUAAAAUAGUUAAUAAAUAUGCUUGAAGUAUUUUCUUCUUCAAAUCUGCAUUCUUUGCUUGCAAUCUUGCAAUAUUUUUCAUGCAACAUAAGUCUUGUAUAGGUUUGGCACACCAUGGCGCUGUUUUUUGUCCAUUUUUGUCUUACCCCACGCUUGAGCAGCAUCAGUGCAAAACAUAUAUUCUACCUUCCGGAACCUACAAGAAAUAAAUUUGUGUUGAAAUCCAGCCAUUAGAUUGAGUUUAACUUUAAAAUUUUUCAAAAACAGCAAACAAGCGAUGAUAUGUUUGCACUUUUCU